CAUUCCAAAUUUCACACCCUGUGCACUUUUUGUAGGCCGACUUUAAAAAGUUGGUCUAUGUUUUUAAUAACACCCAAAGAAGUUUAGAAUGUUUAUUUGUAGCUUGCUUGCAAGCUUAAAAAUUAUACAACUUUCAACAACGGAUCUCUUGGCUCUCGCAUCGAUGAAGAACGCAGCGAAAUGCGAUAAGUAAUGUGAAUUGCAGAAUUCAGUGAAUCAUCGAAUCUUUGAACGCACCUUGCGCUCCUUGGUAUUCCGAGGAGCAUGCCUGUUUGAGUGUCAUUCAACUUCUCAACCACAUUCGUUCAUCUGAUUGUGGCUUGGAUGAUGGGGGUUUUUGUUUGCAGGCUUCUUAAUUAAUCUGAGAGGUCGGCUCCCCUGAAAUGUAUCAGUGGUAUCUGAGGCUAUUGCUAUAGGUGUGAUAAUUAUCUAUGCCCUUGGUUGUGCCGCAUGGAACUGCUUCCAACAAAGAUGAUCUUUUUGAUGAAUUUGACCUCAAAUCAGGUAGGACUACCCGCUGAACUUAAGCAUAUCAAUAAGCGGAGGA
Molecule: ribosomal RNA, 547 nt
Filed under: uncultured Inocybe
Lineage: Eukaryota; Fungi; Basidiomycota; Agaricomycetes; Agaricales; Cortinariaceae
Description: eukaryotic LSU rRNA
Rfam family: 5.8S ribosomal RNA (bases 129-282)
Source: RNAcentral